UUUCCGGUUGAUCCUGCCGGACCCCACUGCUAUCGGGAUAGGACUAAGACAUGCUAGUCGAGUGACUCAGGCAAAACGAGUCACGGCACACAGCUCAGUAACACGUGGCUAAUCUGCCCUUGGGACUAGAACAACCCCGGGAAACUGGGGCUAACUCUAGAUAGGUGAAGAACUCUGGAAUGAGUCUUUGCCUAAAUAGGUUCACGUUAUCCUCGUGAACUUGCCCAAGGAUGAGGCCGCGACCGAUCAGGUUGUUGGCGAGGUAAUGGCUCACCAAGCCUUUUACCGGUGCGGGCCGUGGGAGCGGGAGCCCGGAGAUGGGUACUGAGACAAGGACCCAGGCCCUACGGGGCGCAGCAGUCGCGAAACCUUUGCAAUACACGAAAGUGUGACAGGGCUAUCCCGAGUGCCAUCCGCUGAGGAAGGCUUUUACCCAGUCUAGAACGCUGGGGGAAUAAGGAGAGGGCAAGUCUGGUGUCAGCCGCCGCGGUAAUACCAGCUCUCCGAGUGGUGUGGAUGUUUAUUGGGCCUAAAGCAUCCGUAGCUGGCUAGGUAAGUCCCUUGUUAAAUCCACCGAAUUAAUCGUUGGAUCGCGGGGGAUACUGCUUGGCUAGGGGACGAGAGAGGCAGACGGUAUUUUCGGGGUAGGGGUGAAAUCCUAUAAUCCCGGGAAGACCACCAGUGGCGAAGGCUGUCUGCUAGAACGCGCCCGACGGUGAGGGAUGAAAGCUGGGGGAGCGAACCGGAUUAGAUACCCGGGUAGUCCCAGCUGUAAACGAUGCAGACUAGGUGUUUGAACGGCCACGUGCCGUUCUAGUGCCGCAGGGAAGCUGUUAAGUCUGCCGCCUGGGGAGUACGAUCGCAAGAUUGAAACUUAAAGGAAUUGGCGGGGGAGCACCACAAGGGGUGAAGCUUGCGGUUUAAUUGGAUUCAACGCCGGA
This 941-nucleotide ribosomal RNA is filed under the name uncultured archaeon. RNAcentral's name for it is "bacterial SSU rRNA". It matches the Rfam family "Archaeal small subunit ribosomal RNA", at positions 1 to 922 of the family's 1478-position model. The record is from RNAcentral.